GGACGUGAGGGUGAUCUGGCUGCGACAUCUGUCACCCCAUUGAUUGCCAGGGUUGAUUCAGCUGAUCUGGCUGUCUAGACGGGUGUCCCCUUCCUCCCUCAAUGAUCCAUGUGCAUCCCUCCCAAAGCUGCACGCUCGGUCGAAGAGGACGACCACCCCCGAUAGAGGAGGACCGUUCCUCGGUCAAGGGUGUACGAGUAGCUGCGCUCCCCUGCUAGAACCUCCAAACAAGCUCUCAAGGAGUUCUGGGUGCUCCCUAGUGCUGGGUGCUCUUGGUUAAGAUAGCUCCUCUG
This 293-nucleotide small nuclear RNA is filed under the name Octodon degus (degu). Its description in RNAcentral is "7SK RNA (ENSODEG00000024541.1)". It matches the Rfam family "7SK RNA". From Rfam's summary of the family: 7SK was discovered as an abundant small nuclear RNA in the mid-70s but a possible function has only recently been suggested. Two independent studies have found that 7SK RNA binds the CDK9/cyclin T complex (known as elongation factor P-TEFb). P-TEFb activates transcription by phosphorylating the C-terminal domain of RNA polymerase II. The record is from Rfam by way of RNAcentral. Lineage: Eukaryota; Metazoa; Chordata; Mammalia; Rodentia; Octodontidae.